Long non-coding RNA from Loxodonta africana (African savanna elephant), 17997 nucleotides. RefSeq lists it as uncharacterized. The transcript is spliced from 4 exons. The record is from RefSeq and is a predicted model, not a curated record. Lineage: Eukaryota; Metazoa; Chordata; Mammalia; Proboscidea; Elephantidae.
AAGCGGAAGCCGCGCCGCGCGGAGAGGCUCCUGUCGAAGUCGGGUGGCUGCAGGCGGUCGCGUGAGGGCCUAGCGGUCCCUGCGGAAGAAGGAGGAAUGGGGCCGUAGCUCUUGAUACACACAGAAAAUCAACCACUCAGCACUUCCAAUAGCAGAGCUAGCACUGGGUGGAUAUCAGGACAGAGUUCCACAGUGAGAAGGCUGUGAAACUGAGGAAAUGCAAGCCAGAGCAGUACCCUCUUUGUCCAUGGGGACCUAACUGACUGGAGGUAAGAGAGUGAGUUCUGCUCCACAAGAAUAAGAGGGUUAAGGCCACAUUUGGCCAUGGCAUUUUUGCUCUUUUAGGCCCAAAUAGGAAACCCUGGUGGCAUAGUGGUUUAGUGCUACUGCUAUUAGCCAAAAAGGCACUCCUUAGAAACUAUAGGGCAGUUCCACUCUGUCUAUAGAGUUGCUAUAUGUUGGAUUUGACUCGACAGCAAUGAGUAAAAGUGGGUAGGCCCAGAUAAACAUUGAAAAUCUUUUGGGUUGUGACUACUCAAAGUGUGGUCCAAGGACCAGGAACAUCAGAUUCACCUAGAAGUUUAUUCGAAAUGCAGAAUCUCAGGCCAAGCCCAGAACUAAAGAAUCAAUAUUUUUAUUUAACAAGAUCCCCAGAUAAUAGCUUGUGCAUUACAAUUUCAGAAGCCCUGCUCUAGGACAAUAUUUCUCAAAGAAGGUCCAAAACCACCUGGAGCUUCUUCUUAAAAUGAAAUUCUCAAGCUCUACCUCAGAGGCUGCUACAUCUGGUUCUCUGGGGGUGGGCCCAGGAACCUGCAUUUUGAAGAGGCACCCUAGGUUCUUGUGCACACUGAAGUUUGAAGACUGCUGCUGCUUUAGCUGUUGGGAAAUCUGGGCAGGGGAGGGCUGUGGGCUCGAAAUAAAAUGAUGUUUAGGAACUGAAACACAUGUCCCAUAGCUUCUACUGGGAAUCAGUGGAGCAGAUGCAGUUGAUAAGUGGAGAAAACAGACCUUUUGCCAUCCUCAAGAACCAGAUGGAUGUAAUAGCGAGGUGAAUGCCAUGUCUGUUCCUUUACCGAUGGCCAAGAUGGGUCUAACAUGAUGGGAACCACUGACCCUGGUAAUUUAGAGUCCAUUUUAAAACGCAUCUGUGGGCAGGUACACAUAAAAUGUAAUGAGAAAGCCAUGUCCAUCUCAGGGAUACAGGGUCAGAUGUGCCCCCAGAACACAGAGCCCAAAGAAUGGGAUAUUUUCCCUGUGAAAGAAUUCUGAAAAGUAAAAAUGAUGGCCUCUUUAUUUGCAUUAACAAAGGUCACCUGCCCCUUCCUGAAAUCCUAGGUCACCCCUACCUUUUGGGGAUUUCCAUCUAGGGUCAGUUUGGUUUCUGGGUUUGUGAGAGCCUAGAGCUGUCCCCUGGUGACCCUCAAAGCCUAGACCCCCUCCUUCUGGCAGAGGGAGAUCCUCCCCUUUCUACUCACUGACUCUUGAGGCACCCCCACCUCCCAGGAUGCAGCCUCCCCAGUAUGAUAGUUCCACCAGCCAUCGGUGGAUUCCGGAAGAGUAGCCCUCCAGACCCAGAACACAGGGAUUGGUGUCGAAUCUCUUGGGAUGAGCAGCUGGCUCUAGCAGAGAGCCUCUCACAGUCACGUGUUUCCCGUCCUUGGAGUCCGGGAGCUUUGCGUGAGCAGUGUCCUGGCCCAGGACCACUUUUGCUGUUAGAGAAAUGGAGCAGGGUGUUACCACUCCACUGGACUGAAAUAGACCGUGGUUCUAUUCCCGGCUAGACUUGGAGGAAAUCAUUUCAGUAUUGUACUCCUUAGUUUCUUCCUCCGCAAGUUGAGGGAACUCAUUAUUCUUAUUAUUUAAUACUAUUAAAACAACUUAAACUUACAUAGCAUCUUAUAAUUUACAAAGCAUAUAUUUAUGGCUUACACAACCCCAGGAGGCCAAGAGGGAAUGUGUUACUUUUCCUUCCCAGGAAAGAAAGUGGAUCUCAGAAAGGUGAGCUGGUUUGUGUCCAGACACUAGGCUAGAAUGACUAGAAGUUCAGCUCUAACAUUACUAUUGGAGGUUGACCUUAAUGUUCCUGUUUCCUGCAUUCUCUAUGUGAAGGAGGGGGACUUUCUAUAUGUCUCUAUCCUUUACUUCACUCACUUUCUCCAUUUCUAUCCAUUAUUCAUUUUCUGUGCCUGCUGUAGCAGAAGCCAUUUCUGACUGAUGUGGGUACCUCAACCUACAGGGAUCCUAGGUGUUCUUUGGACUCUCUUUGGGUUGAUGGUCAUGGCUCCUAAAAGAAAUAGAAAAAUCAUCAUUUCCUUUAAAAGACUUAAGUCUGAGUUACUAUUACUUCCACCAGAGAAUCUCAAACUUUUCCCACCUUGCUCCUUUUACAGUUGCUCCCCCCAACAGACCUUUGAGGGUCUUCUAUUAUUAUAUUCACAAAUAUUUAUUGAUCUUGUACAGAUGCCAACAGGAAGGAAAUUGGCCUGCCUUCAUUGACCCAAACCCAAACCAAACCUGCUGCUGUGGAGCUGAUUCUGACUCAUAGUGACCCUAGAGGACAGAAUAGAACUGCUCUAUAGAGUUUCUAAGGAGUGGCUAGUGGAUUCAAACUGUUGGCCUUUUGGUUAGCAGCUGUAGCUGUAACCAUAAAUGGUGCACCACCAUUGACAAUGAACCCGAAAUUGGUCUCUUAGCUUUGUGCAGACAAUCCUUACCUUGGACAGCUUUCCUGAGCAUAUCUGUUGAUGUUCAUGAGGUGAACUGUCUUUCUGACAUUCAUCCCUACUGUUAUUAGAAUAGCUUAUUUUAUGACUUCUAAUACCCACAAUAACUUUUACCCAGUUAAAGUUGGGGUAUCCUUAGAUAUCUAACCUUGAUUCCUCAUUUUUCUUCUAUGUUAAAAAUCUUUUUGUGAGGUGGCUUGAAUCGUUUACAGGGAAAACAGAAGCCUUCUGGUACUUGGCAUCCCUCUUGAACUGUUAUUGUCAGCUAUAUCUUAAACAUUAAUUUAUACUCAACCUAGGGCAAGAAAUGGCCCCAUUUGAGACAUACCUGUAGCUUCCCACUGCCAGAAUGUUUGGUUCCGGUUGGGUCUUACAUCUUCUAUGGAGAAAAGAAGCAAAAGGAGAUGAGUCUCCAGCCCUUCUGGAAUCUUCAGUGUUUGUCCUUCUGGUACACUGGAAAGUACACUGGGCUAGCAGUCAAGACUCAUAGGUUUGCAACCAUGUUCUACCACUUACUGAUUUGUGACCUUUAAAAACUUAUUUACCCUCAUCUAUAACAUUUGGAAUAAUUUUAAGGUCUUUACUAGCUUGAAAUCUUAACGUUUUCUGGCAGCCAUGGCUUUCUGAUGUUUCCCCUACCUCGUUCAGUGUUAUUUUCUCAGGAUUGAACAGAGAGGGAAGCUGUCAAGGUGUGUUGAACACAGUCUCUAGUCCAGUGACUACAGUAAAAUGUCCACUGCCGCCCCGACCUGCCUCCAGAGGGGAAAGAUGGCCUGAACAGAUCUGGUUGGGAUCAAGCCCAGCCACAUCUGAGGUGCACAGCCAGUCAUGCACAGGCUCAGGGAAGGAUUCUCUGUGAGUCAUUUCCCCUCUUCAGUUAGUUUGAUAUGGCCCCCAUAGUCUUAUGAACACCCUUCCAUAAAUCCUCCUUGUAUUUGAACUGUGGUGUUGGUGAAGAAUUUUGAAUAUGCUGUAUACUGCCAGAAGAAUGAACAAAUCAGAUCAGUCUUAGAAGAAACACAACCAGAAUGCUCCUAAGAAACAAGGAUGGCAAGACUUCAUCUUGCUUGCUUUGGACACAUAAUCAGGAAAGACCAAUUGCUGGAAAAGGACAUCAUGUUUGGUAAAGUAGAAGGUCAGUGGAAACAAGGAAAACCUGCAGUCAGACAAUUUGAUAAAAUAGCCAAAACAGUGGACUCGAACAUACCAGUGAUGAUGAAGAUGGCACAGGACCCGGGCAGCAUUUCAUUCUGUUAGGCAUAAGGUUGCCAUUGUCCAUGAGUCAGAGCCGACUCGAAAGUAACGUAACUAAAAAAAAACAACAUAAAUCCCCUCUUUCAGUCCGUCCUUUUAGCAUAGUUUCCAUUGAAGCAGGACCCUGUCCAUUGUCUUUCACCAGUCCAGAGAGCAGAACAUAGUCCCCAUUACCAGGAAUUAUACCCUCAGCUCCCUGGGAUGUGAGCAUUAGGCUCUAGUUGGGCUACAUGCUGAAUACUCAGAUGCAGAUGGCUCUCAGCCCCUGCCCUUUUCCUCUUCUUUAUAACUUCUCCCACCCAACAAUGCCAGUGGCCGGGAUGGUCCCUCUGGGAGGGAGGGAGCAGUGGCCUGAACACAGUACUGAGACCUUCCUACCUUCCUGCACUUCCUAUCUUCCCAGGCCUGGUAAUGCUAGUGCUGGCUGUGAUCCUGACCUGAACUGCCUGUCUCAUAGGGGCUAGGCCAAGGGUUGGAGAGGCAGCAUGAUGUGGUGGGGAGAGCCCAGACUCCGAAACCAAACAGAAGGCAGACCUGAGUUGGGUUCUGGCUAAACAGCGUACAAGCUGUGUGACUGUAACCUUCUCAUUAAUCUUCCUUAGCAUCAAUUUUCUUAUGAUAAGGUACGUGUGAUAAAAUCUGCCUUUGAAUGUAUUAUUCUUAGGAGGAUAUGAAUUCAUAUAUGAAAGGACCUGGCCUACAAAAGUUACCCAGUAAAUUUUAAUGUACUUUUCAUUGGACACAUGAAGCAAUCAUUAGUUCCAAUAUAGUUAUGAUGCCCCCUACAAUUUCCAAAUAUUCUCUUUUAAGUCCUUUUCCUCUUUUUUCUUCUGUGUGUCCUUAGUCACAUUUUUAUACUUAGAAAUGUCUCUAGAAAUACCUGAUUGCCUCCAGGUAUGUCUUUGUUCUUCCAGGUUGGAUUCCUACAUACUUGGAUUAGAAAGUAUUGGAGAAGAUAUCAUGUAUUGACUGUGUUUCAGUGAUAUGACAACUUUGUGAUUCUCUAAUCUGACAGAAGGGAAAAAAAAAAAAAACCUAAAUAAUCAAAAUUCACAGAACAUACAGAACACCCUUUUAACUCUAGAGCUGUGAGUCCUUUUUUCACUAGGCUCCUACAAUGAUUCUCAGGGAUCCUUAGAGCCUCAGGAAAGUUGUUCUCUCCCUAGGCCUGCAUAGAGUCCAAGUGCCAAGAAACUGCCACAAAAUGGGGAGGGGGAGAAGGUGCUAGAAAGCCAUCCUGUCUCUUUUACUUAGAGUAGGAAGGAAAACGCACCUCCUCUUUGUAUAAAACAAGGUGUAAACUCACUUUCUUUAGAUGCCACAACAGGCUUUGCCUUGGGAUGUCCUGGCUGCUUUUUCCUGGUUUUUAAAUUGCUCCUGAAUUUCUCUUAGUAUUGCUCCAAGCCAAAUGGCAUGGCCUCUGGAAGAAGAAAUGGAGGACUGAUCACCCUAAAAUAAGAGUUCACUUAAAAGAGGGAGAAGGGGCAGAAAAUUUUACCUUGAGCUGAUCCUGCCACUAGGUGAACCCAUUAAGAACAACAUCCUGCUAAGGAGACUCAUGAAGUCCAUUGAUUUUUGUUGUCAUUGUAGAUCACUGGAAACUAGUGUGUGAUGCAGCAAUGAGCAUGAUCUUUCAAACCAAGGAAUAUUGGGUUUGAAUUCUGGCUCUGCUUCCUAGCUAUGUAAACUUAAAUAAAUUUCCUAAUUUAUCUAAGCCUCAGUUUCAUCAUAAGAAAUGAGGAUAAUAAGCGGUAUGAGUAUAUUGAGAAACAUGAAAACAUUAAGCACAAUGCUGGUAUCCAAGAGGUGCUCAAUUUCCUUAUUAUUCCACAAAUGUAUUGACUUUGAAGAACUCCAGCAUAUCUGUGAGUACUGAUUCCUGAUAUAGAAACAAAUCCUUUUCUUUCCUCCAAAUAGGCAAUGCUUUUCUAAAAGGAGAGUUCCAUAAUAUAACACUCCCUUAAUUUUUUUCUCUUUUUUCAGGGAGAAGUGAGAGCAGGAAACUAAGAACAAAUAUCCGUCUGACUUGUGAAAUGCUGUAGACUCUCUUGCAGUGUAUCAAUCUUAUUUGUGAUUUCAAGGAGUUAUUUUUGAAGGGUUGGGGACAGAGCUGUGGGGGUUGGAAACUGCACCGUUUCCACCUGAGGGAAAGAAAGAACAGUAAUUAAGUGACCCCUAUACACCUUGUUCUCAAGAGUCAGAAGAUCCUCAAGUGUUAGAGAUCAUCGAUAAAUAGCACCUCUCUUUCCUAACAAGUUGAAAAGUGAAGCAGAAUAAGAUAGAAGGUCCAAGUAUUAUUUCUAGGACUGGCAACAUGUAUGUUGGAGGAUAUAGCUGAGUGACAGAGUCAAAUGGCUUCUUAAUACUGAAACCCACAUAUACACAUACCCACUCACCCCACCAUGGCAACCCUGACAAGGACAGUCCUAGACAGGCUCUUCUGCAAUUUCCGGUAUGGAAGGACAGAGGGGAAUCAGGCUUUGUUGGAGGCUUUUUCCCAGGAGGGAGAAGGGAGGUGCUAAGGUGCCCAGCUAUUUUCCCCCAAAUUACCAGUUAUGUAAGGUAUUCCAGCUGGCUAUAAGUGUGCUUAAGGAAAAUUCCUUUUCAUGGAGACCAGAAACUGGGAAAAGGUGUAUCCCUCUAACAGUCACACAGUCAUGUCUACUUCCAUGUUUCCAUAUAGAAUAGCGUUUUGUGUAUAUCAGAAACAUUGGUGGUGUAAUGGUUAGAAGCUACAACUGCUAACCAAAAGGUCAGCAGUUCGAAUCUACCAGGUGCUCCUUGGAAACUCUAUGGGGCAGUUCUACUCUGUCUUAGAGGCUUUCCUUGAGUUGGAAUUGACUCAGUGGUAACAGGUUUGGUUUUUUUUUUGGUCUGUAUCAGGUAGUUGGAUUACUGUGUGCCAACAGUAACAUUUGGGAAAAGGACAUUUGUGAUUCGAUGGUACUGGGGGCAUUUGUGAUAGAUGGAUAAGGGGAAUCUUACUUACCUAAUUUCUUCAUCUCCUAGAAAAAAAUAGAGAUAUCAGAGCUGACUUUUCCCAUACUUUAACUUUUUGGUUGUUCGCAAAAGUGACCAGUUCCAAAGGACAAGGUCUGCUUCCUGAUUAAAUAUUUAAUGUUAUCCUAUCACCUGCACAUUCAUGUUAAGCCUUCAUACACCAUCAAGAGCAUAUACAAAAAAAAAAAAAAAAGACAAUAAAUAUUGAAGAAUAUUCUUUGAAGAAUAGGGUCUAAGCGUUACUUGUAAUGUUGGUAAUGAAGAUGGAGAAGGAAGAGGGGAAGGUGGGCGAAGAGGACUAAAAAAAUGGCCUUUUAUGCCUUUAAGGAUCUCCAUCCCUGACUGAGAGCAUUCCUUCUCCACCUUACUUAUCAGUCUGUCAAGAAAGGUCAGUACCUUGGAGACUUUGGUGACAUAGUUAUCUUUUCCACUGAUGAUCUCUUUCUCCACUGCCCGCAUUUGGGCCAGAAAGAGGUAUUCCUGAGCUUUCAAAAGCUUCCAAGUCUGUCUCAACUCAAAUACAACCUCCUGGUUCUUGGUCUAUAUCUGGUUCUAGAGAAAUAAAAGGGAAUUGAUUCUCUGGAACCUGGUGGAGACCCAAUGAACAUGACCCCACAAAGAAUACUAAUAGUUGGUUGGGCCUUGAUGGAGUUUCACAUUUGUUUCCCAGAAUGUAGUAGAUGGUAACGUGUAGGAAAUUUAACAUACAAAAAGAGGAUUGAACUUGAGGGAUUGGCUUCCAUGUAUCAUUCAGAGUCCUAGUCUUAUCAUGGAAUACUGUUUGCUUCCUUGGGUUUCAACUUUUUUUCAGAACUCUAGAAAGUAUGAACAGAUCAUUCUGGGGUAGUUUGUACAUGGGGAAAUUCAGGGGAUGGGAAUGGAAAUUUACUGAAAGUUAGACUCAAAGGUAAAAAAUGGGAGCUAAAGAAAUUUUUGUUUCCUGUUAGAUUUUUUGUUUGUUCUCCAGACCCAGUGGUUGUGACUCCAUUUCCUACCCAAGCAAAUGAUGUUUUAUCUCUCAUAAUCCACUUUGUAGGAGAACUUAUCUCCUUCUCCCUUUCCACCCCUUUAUCCUUCCAUGACGACUCAGACCAUAAGAGGUGAGUGGCAUCUCCCUCUUGAAAAUCAACCUGAACCCUUACCUAGGAAAGUCCAGUAGAGAAUAUCAAGGCAUGAUUGACCACCAUUAAGGCCUGUAUUGACUUUUCUCUCGUCUGCUUCAUCUUAUUAAUCUCUUCCCACUCUUUCUUCAGAGUCACCAAGUGGCUCUGGAUUUGAUCCUAUGAAAAUAGGACACUCAUAUUCUUCAUGAAUCAACAGUUUUAAUCUCAACAUCUCUAUAUUUCCAAGGAUUCAUAUCAUCCUAAGCUAAAUUAAUGAUGUAUUCAGAAGUAAAUUCAUAGCAACCCAAAGGGGCUUAUGGAGAAAGUGAUACAUGAAUAGGAUGAGGGGUGAAUUAAGAAUAUGAUUAGGAAUAAGACUAGUGUUAGGUAAAAUUGUUGUUGUUACCCAUUGCCAUUGAGUUGAUUCAAAUCAAACCAAACACUGCCGCUGAAUCAAUUCAGACUCACAGCAUCCCUGUGGAACAGAGUAGAACUGCCCCAUAGGGUUCCAAGGCCAUAAAUCUUUAUGGAAGCAGACUGCCAUUCUCCCAUGGAGUGGCUGGUGAGUUCACUGCUUUUGGUUAGCAGCCAAGCACUUAACUACUACUCCACCAGGGCUUCUUAUUGUUGUUAGUUGCCAUCAAGUCAGCUCGGGCCCAUUAUGACCUUAUGUACAGCAGAAUGAAACACUGCCCAGUCUUACAUCAUCCUCAUGAUCAUUGGUAUGUAUAUAAAAUUAGGGUAUAUUUAAGGGUAUUGAGGAUCAUUAAGUAGAGAAUUCUUGCAAUAAAAGUUCCCUGAUUGACCCUGCCUCACUCUAACCACCGGUCCGAAAAAGAACACUUGCCACCUUUUAUUCUCCUGUUGAGAAUAAAACAGGAGAAUUCUCUCAUGCAGAGAAUAAAGCUAUGUUCAGUGAUGGAAUCAAAAACCUGAAUCCUGGCACGUCUGGUGCUAUACAGAGCUGAGAGACUGGCUGAAGAGUAAGCUAGCAGUUUUAUAAGAGAAGGAACGAGAAGGUCAAAUGUCGAUGGAAUACGAAGAAACUAUAAGGAAAAUGGAGCCUGUAUAAACCAAGGCAUUCCUGUUCCUCGCAUGGUGGUGGGGCCGGAGGGGAAGAGGGAGGUGCCAUGUUAGUGUUGUCUGCCAGAGUGCCCUUUCAAAACGGAAGCAUCAUCUUCUCCAUUUACAACACCAGGCCAAGGAGGGCUUAAAAGACCCAGCCUGUAUCAGCUUCACCUCCUUCUCCCACCUUUUUCCCUCCGGCUAUGAGAGCAAACACUGGUUGAACAUCAUCUAUGUGCCAGAAAUUGUUCUAGGCACAACUCAAGCAAUUGUUCUAGUAUCAACUCAAGCAAUCCUUAGAACGUCUCUAGAACUUUACCGAUUUUACAGGUGUAUGUAAAGUGAGAAAGGUGUACUGAAAUAUAUGUAAAGUGGGUAAGUAACUUGUCAGGGGUCCCAUAGCUAAGUGGGUGGUAGAGUAAAUACUCAAAUUUUGGUGGUCCAUAUCUAGGCCUGUACCCUUAACCACCAUGCUACAGCUGCCACUAGCUUCAUGGGGCUUGUCAGUUCUGCAAACCCACCAUACUAUCAAAUACUCAGGACUUUUCACCAACUGUUCCCCUAAAUAUGAGGCAUUCCUCCCCUUUCAACUCUGUUCAUCUUUAGGGCUCAUUUGCAAUGUUACCUCUUCAGGGAAGAUGUUCUGAACCUGCUCCCAGAUAAGGUAGGCACCCUUGCUCUUCAUUCUAGAUGCCUGUUUUCCAGUUAGGCUGUUCACCGUAUAAAGACACAUAGUAUGUUCAACUUGUUCAUGCUGCAUCCCCAGUGCCUGGCAUGUUAUCAGGCCCUCAGUAAAUAUAAUACAUUGACACAGUGGCUGCAACAAAGGGCUCAAACUUAGCAAAGAUUUCGAGGAUGGCACGGGACCAGGCAACUCUUUGUUCUGUUAUGUGUGAAGUUGCUAUGAGUAGGAGCCAACUUAACAGCGCCUAAAAACAACAACAGUAAAUAUGGGUCAGUAAAUACAGUUCCCCAAAAAGUAGUUAGGGAGGACUUCUCGUUUUCAAUAAUGACAGGAAUGUUUUGGCCAACCCUUGUGUUGAAAAUAACUUUUUGGGGGCAUGCAAUAUAAUUUGCUUAUGACUACAGAGAUUUCGGUUAUCUGAAGGGUUAUUACAUGAAGAAUCGUAUUAUUUCUGCGUGACCAUAGAGGUCAGAGCUUGGUCAUUUCCUUAGACUCUUCGGUGAGGCAGAAUCGGCUCAUUAGGAUUUUUUUUUUUUUUAAUUAGACUUAAUAAUGGAAUGGACUGCUUUAGUGGGUAGAAAGUUCUCCACCACUAAACGGUUUCAAGCACUUGUUGUUGAUAUUGUGUGGGGAAUUUUGACCCUGAAGGGAUCAACCACCUUGCAUACUGAGGCCCCUUCCUCACUAAGUUGCCGUAAGAGAUAGAGGACUUGGUUACCACUAUGUGAUCUUGGGCUAGGCAGUUCUGAGUGUCAUUCUUAAUAUCUACUAGUCAAACUGGAAUAAUACCUGAUCUACUUCACAGAGUUAUGAAGGGACUGGAUUACGUAAUACAUGUAAAUCCUUGCUUUGUUUUUGUUUUGUUCUUUUCUUUGCAUUGUGAUUGCUCAGGUCAACUCUUCUCCCUUCUCUCUCUUUUUUUUGAUUAUACAACAUAACAGCAAGAGAAUUUCUUAAAUGAAAAGAGAAAUCUCAUCUGCAACCCCACUACCUCAUACAAUAAUCAUACUUAUUUUCCUGUAUUCUAGUCUAGCCAAAGAUGGCUUUGAGAACUAACAUGUGAAAUCAUUUCAGUUAACAGCAUGAAGCCCUGCCAGUCCCAUGAGCCUUUGUCACUGGCAAGUAGUUCCUCGUGACAUAAUAAGAGUAGUGAUGGUUACUUUGGAAGGUUGGAGGGAAAAGCUGAAGUCAAAGUUGUACCUGGGUAAGAGAGAAAUGAACGGAAAUGCUUUUGUCUCCUUUCUCAACCCCAUUGAACAAUAUGAAUUCCUCCCAUUCCUCCCUAUUCUCCAGUCUCCACGGGUACUAUGUGUAGAUAUGUGACUGAGAAACAAGUCAGGUCUUGCCUGUCCUUUUUCCCUCCAAAAAUUAAUACAAAGAGAAUUCAUUCUAAACACAAUACAUGGUGAAGAGGGAAGGUUGUGUUAACCCUGGGAGAGGGUCCUUCUCCACGGAGAACACUUCCUCUGAGCCUUGUGACCAGUUCCAUCAGGGCACACUCUUGUCCGAUCCCCUUGCUAUUUGGAUCGCUCUCGACGGUCCUCUUGACCUCUUUCAAGCAGAACGGGGAAAUGAGUGCAAGGACUAGGGAGUGUCCCACUGUGGGAACGCAUGGUACUCUCUGGGCCCCUCUUGGGGAAAAUGCUUCUGCUUCACUUUUAUUUCUUGUUUUGGAGCUCGUCCGCGUGAAGAGUAAAAGUUGUUUUUCCUAGAAGUCAGUGAAGAAAUGAUUCGUUUCCCUUUCCCCUGUCUAUUCUGUCUAGCGCUGGGUCGUCUUGCUGAGUCAGGCACUCAGAAAACCUUCCCCUGACUUGCCUCUCUGCCCAUCCCAAUUCAAAAAGCAGAGGGAACUGGCAGUUUUUAGGAAUUCUGCUCCCUCCUCCGCCCCUCCCCCUCCAUGCAGCACGACGGCAGAGCUACUGGUAACAACCAAAGCCAACAAAGGACUUUUCUUCAUGAAUAAGUAGACAAAAAAGAAGUACAGUUAUGCAAACUUCUGAGUCUUAUGCCCAAAUGGAGAUGCCCAUGUGGAGAAAUCAGCAGGAUUCAAACCUGGGGAAGAGUAAGCGUGAGAAACCACUAGACUUCUGCUAUUUUAUUCCUCUGUGUUUCUCCUUUCUGUUUCUAAAUAUAUAGUAUAAAUAAUAUGGAGUACAAACUGUUAGACUCCCUCAAUCCUUUCCUUUGAAUUGUGAUCAACACUUGUUAUGUGAGACAUUCAUUCCAUCAGUACUUACUGUAAGCAAACUGUAUGUGAGAGUAGCGCUUUUAUUCAAAAUAUUUGACAACCAGUAUGGUAAUUUUAAUUAAUGUAUAAAUAAAAAAUUUUAACUGAGUAUUCUUUCUAUGCUCCAAAUUAUUAUAAAACUGCUUGCCAAGUGAUAUGAGCUGUAGUAUACAUUAUUUCUCAAAUCAUUCUAACAAUUUCCAAAUUUCUUUAUUUUUAGAAAAAUUUGGCAUGAUAUCUUUUCAAUGUCGCUGUCUUUAGCUAAGUGGUGUGUCUGUGUGAGCCAUGGUUUGACAAGGGAGCUACAUAAAAAGCUUCCAUUGGCUUCCCCAUUAAAUUGUCUUUUAGAUAACAUCAUGUAACAUUGACCGUAUUGUUCCUGGUGCAAAAUUAUUUCUUGCUAGAGCAAUUGCUUAACCAAUUUUUAGCCCUUAUAAUAGUGUCUGAGAUUCUUAUACAUUUGAUGUCUCUGUUGUUCACUAAGUCACAAAACUCAUUAUAAUGCCAUAUUUAAUUAGGAGCCUCAGUUUCUAUGGAGUUUGUAAACAUCGUUCAUGAUUGAUUAAAUUUUUAAAAACUUAAAUGUUCUUUAUGUUUCUUAUUUUUAUCAUUACUACAAUUCCAAUCACAUGAAUCACUAAUUGUUUUUUUUUUCCUCGUGGAAUUACUUUCCUUUCAAAUGGUGUAUAUACGUAUUUUUAAAUAAUACUGUCUGCUUUUUCCUUCUUUGUUUACUAUCUACUUUUAUAUGCUGAUUCUUAUUUUUGUCAAAUUAAUCCAGCUUCUUUAAUAAUUAAAUGUUUCUCUGUGGUAAGGCUAAAGAUAGUAUUGACAUCUCUGUUAGAAUAUAAGCUAUUAAACCAAAUCUCUGGAAAAAAAGUCUGUUUUCCAAACAUUUAGCUACUUUCAUUUUACAAUUUCUAUUAAAUCUCCUAAAUGUUUUUGAUGGCCCAGCACCACAGGGUGCCCAAAUAUUCUUCCCAGUUUCAUGAUUUCAGUUCCAACCUCUUCAGAUAGAUUAUUUAAUUUUCCCAGAUGUUUAGUGUAUGGAACUGCAUAUAAGGUUUAUUGGAGCAAGUAGUUAAAGCUAUUUAUUUGACUUAUAUACUUUAUUGUAUCACCCUGAAGUUAUUGAAUACAGUGACUUAGAUAGUGCCGAAUUAAAACAUCUGGGAAUUUUUCUAAAAUUUUGACUAAGACCCUGGACUGCCCCUAUGGUACACACUGGCACCAUCUAUAUCAUCAUAUAACAAUUUCCCAUCAAAACUAUUUUUCUUGAGCAUUGAGUAAGUUUGACAUAUUCUCUGAGGUCCUUGAGUCAACAAAAACCAUAUAAUGGUCUUACAGUUUUAGAUUUAGUAUUUUAGUAACUGAUUAAAACACAUUUUCAUGAAAUAAUUGGAAGCUUCAUUGAUAAUGAUUUGUUGCCUUGAUUUAUAAUUUUUCCACAAAGUUGUCUCAUUAUGGUAGAUACAUAUUUUGCAACCAGGAGAACCAUUAAUCUAGACUGCAAUGAUAUGCACUGUCUAUAUUCUUUUUAAAAGCCUCUAUUUAGUAUGUGAAAUGCUCUAUUUAAUUACACAGUAGAUAGUAUUUAAAUUCUGAUGGCAGUUUUUCAAUGUCUUGUUGGCUUUAUCAACAUGGAUAGAAAAUAUUUCAGAAGUUGUUAUUAUUUCAGAUACUUCAUUGAGCAAAGCUAGUAAUGCAUGACGUUCUUCAAAUUUUUCUCCUUGAUUAUGGCUAACUUUUUUCACUGAAUUUUGAGUGCUGACAAAAUGUGCUUAGCUCUUUUAACUUUUCAUGAUACAGCUUUUGAGAAUCAUUUGCAUGCAAUAUUUACACCGCUAGCAAUAAUAAGCCACCUGCGAGUUUUGUCAAAAUUAUCACGGUAUUUUUACAUUUUAGAAAUGCAAAUUACUGUUGCCGUUGAACUGAUUCUUACACAGUAUCGAACACAUUCCUACUUGUUAUAAUUUUUGCACAAAAUCAGAUGUCCCAGGAUGAGAUUUACUAUUAAUAUCAUUGCUUUCUUGUUCCCUCUCAGAUUCAGAAGAUUCAUAUUUUUAAAGCAAUGUUAAAAAUGUGUACAAACAUCACUAUUGCUCCAUUCUUACUGUUUAUCUUAAUAUUCUAAGUUCUUGAAUUUAUUUAUGCACGAAUAACAAUACACUAACAGUAAGAACAAAGGAAAAAACAAACUCUUUAGAAGUUAUGCUGAUAUGAGGAUAAUGAUAAACUGAUGACUUUCUUCAAUCUCAGAGUGAAGAGUGCACAUCCCAGCGAUUCUGCUUGUUAUUAUGUGGCAGAACUGAGCAGGUAGUGCCCCAAAUGUGCCUCAGAUGUUGCAAUGACAGGAGGUCCAUCUAUUGAUGGUGAUUGUGAUAGCCUAAGACACAUAGCUAAUAAGUUCACCAGAAUUCAUAGUAUUCUUUUUUAAAAUAAUUAGUCUGACUGUACUGGUAAAUACUGGUAAAUACUGGCUGAAUAGCAGUGUAUAAGAGAAACCAUAAAAGGAUAUAUGAACUUUAGUUAAUAUACUAUGACUUUUUGUAAAAACAUAUUUUUGUUGAGAAUAUACAUAGCAAAACAUACACCAAUUCAAUAAUUUCUACAUGUACAAUUCAGUGACAUUGAUUAUGUUCAUCCAAAAUAGACUAUGACUUUUAACAUUUAAGUGUUAAGCUAGUUAGGUUUGGACACUUUUAGAAAUUACAGUGAUAAGGGUCCUCAGGAAGUAGGGCUCUUGAUUAUAACACGUGGCUUUUGUGAGUGGUCUGUUUUUCCCUGAUUCCUUUCAGGUGAAUGAACAGGAGUAAAUUGAAUAUGAAUAAAAAAGAGAAAUUGCCUUCACUUUAUUUCUUUUUUUUUUUCCUAAAGUCAGAUGAGGUGGCCUGGAUGUUAAUUGUUAGGCUAUAAUCUUCAGCUAGCUCUUAUCGAGUGCUUCAUGCAAAAAAUGAGAUUUACCAUAUUCUUUUAGUACUAGUUAUUUACACUAAGAAAAACAGGAUGUGGACAGGGCGUGAGUGACUUAUGUUGGUUAUCUAGAUCAGAGCCACCCAAUAGAAAUAGAACAGAAACCAAAACUGUUGUACUUUAAAAUUUUCCAGUGGCCAUGUUAAGAACAUAAAAAGAAAUAAGUGAAAAAUAAUUUUAAAAAUAUGUUUUACUUACCCAUUGUCAUCCUAACAUCUACUCAAUAUAAAAAAUGAAUAAUGAGUUAUUUUUACAUUCUUUUUUCCAUGUUAAGCCUUGGAAAUCCACUGUGCAUUUUAUGUUCAGUUCCUUGGUUGGCCCUAGUCACAUUACCCCACCUUAAAAUGGAGAGAAUAGUAGUACCUACUCUUAGGGUUGUCGUGAGGAAUAAAUGAGGUAAUAUCAGUAAACAUCUGUUAUGCUCAUUGCCUGCCAGGUACUGUAAUGGUUUGUGUGCAUUUAAUCCUCACAAUAUCCCUAUGGCGUAGGAACAUUUAUCACCCCAUUCCAUAGGUGAGGUAGCAAGCCACUGGCUGAAGGAAGCUAAGUAAUUUCCCAAGAGCACACAACUAGUAAGAAGCUAGGCUGGGACUGGGACUCAAGACAGCUUGUACUGGGUUGAAUAGUUCCCCCCCCCAAAAAAAAAUUCAUGUCCUCCUGAUACCUCAGAAUGUGAUCUUAUUUGGAAAUAGGGUCUGCAGAAUGUCUUAGGGUGGGUUCUCUAGAGAAGCAAAACCAGUAAAACAUAUAUAUAUAUAUAUAUACCCCCACUGCCAUUGAGUCGAUUCUGACUCAUAGCAACCCUAUAGGACAGAGUAGAACUGCCUGAUAGAGUUUCCAAGGAGCACCUGGUGGAUUUGAACUGCUGACCUCUUGGUUAGCAGCUGUAGCACUUAACCACUAUGCCACCAGGGUUUCCAUAUAUAUAGUGAGAAAGAGAGAGAGAGAUUUAUAUCAAGAAAAUAGAGGUUGUAGAGGCUGGAAAGUCCCAGGUCCGUGGGGCAGGCUGGAGGCUUCUCCUGACUCACAGAGCUGCAGGGGCUGACAAAUCCCAAGAUCAGCAGGUAAGCUGCUAGCUCAAGUCCCAAGUCUCAGGUGAACAGGAGCCAGAUGCAUGAUCCAUAGUGAGCAAAAGCCCACAAGCUUUGCCAGAAAGUCUGCGUAUAUUGGAUGCAGGCCACACCCCCAAAGAAACUCCCUUUCAACUGAUCGGCUGCUUAUAAGAGAUCUCAUCAUGGAGGUGAUCACAUUAUAUCAUAUCAUCAUGGAGGUGAUUACAUCGUUACAUAGCUGCCAAACUGCAUCAUAACUGCCAAACCACUGAGAAUCACGGCCCAGCCAAGUUGACACAACCUUAACCAUGACACAGAUGUAAUUAACUAAGUUAAGGUGGGCCCUAAUCCAAUAACUGGUGUCCUUAAAAGAAGAUAAAGCAGAGAUACACACAGAGGAUGACGGCCAUGUGAAGACAGGCAGAGAUGGGAGUGAUGCAUCUACAAGCCAAAGAAUGCCACGAAUUACUGGCAACCACCAGGAGCUAGGAUGAAGCAAGGAAAAAUUCUUCCUUAGAGCCUUUGGAGGGAGCAUGGCCCUGCCCACACCUGGAUUUCAGACUUGUAUCCUCCAGAACUGUGAGAGAAUAGAUUUCUGUGAAGUCAUUCAGUUUGUGGUACUUCAUUAUGGCAGCCCUAGGAAACUCAUACACAGCCUGAUUCCAAAUCUGGAGAUUUUAUCCACUCUUAUUAUAAGGUUAUAACAGUGGGAGUGAAGAAUCAAUGACGACUGAUUAAUGUAUAUAUUAUAUGUGAAGUUAUAGCUACUAGUCUCCACAAGAAAGUUUGUGUAUGUGUGUAUAUGUCUGUGUUGGUCUGUCUGCAAGGAUGUGUGUUGAUGUGGAGAAAAGCUGAUUAAGAAUAUCAGAGCUUCCCUCCUAGACUUCUUGCACCUAGCCUGGGGUCCCAGGAGCCACUGGUUGGCAAGGGGUGGAAAGAAUUUGUCACUCAAGCCACAGACAGGAGCCAUGAAAUAGCCAAAAAGGCAGUGUUUGGGGGUGAAACUGGAGUUGUGAGGCAAAGAGGAGAGACUGAGCCGAGAGAGGAAAACGAGGUGCAAGGCUGUCAUGUAAGGCAGGUUCCUCUGGAGUCACUUUCUGUUUAGUAGGGCUCAGGAUGAAAGCCAUAACAUUGUAUGGUGUGGGUGAAAAAGCAGGCUUUACUGGGAAACUUUCAAUUCGUUGUCAGCAGGUAAAGACAAAGUAUGAGUUCCCAGUCCUAUUAUUCCACAGAGGAGCAAACUGGGCACCCUACUGGACAAGCAGGGUGGCAGUAUGUGCUGGCAGUGGGAUCCUGCCACAGUACUGCUUUCCCUUAUGUGGCAAGCAUGAGGGCAGCCUUAUCGAUGGAGCAGCACAUGAAGUCUUAGGUGCCAAGCAUUCUGGGUUUGGGUGUUAGCUGUUUACAGGAUGCGGUGAGCAGAUUUCUAAGAUGGCCCCCAGUGACCCCUUCUUGUAUUCACACCCUGGAAUCCAGUGUGAGCUGGAUCUCAUGACUUGCUUCUAACCAAAAGAAUAUGGCAAAAGUGAAGUGAUAACACUUCUGUGAGUAGGUUAUAAAAGUUUGACUUUCAUCUUGCUUGAAGGCUCUCUACUGGCUUUGAUGAAGCAAGAGGCCAUGUUGGAAAGAGAAAAAACUGAUUGAUCUCCAUCUAACGGGGGAACUGAGGCCCUUAGUCCAACGAUCUUCAAGGAACUAAAUCCUGCCAGCCACUAUGUUAAUGAGUUUGGGAGCAGAUCCCUGCCUACUCAAGCCUUCAAAUGAGGCUCCAACCCUGGCCAAAUUUGAUUGCAGCCUUGUGAGGAACCCUGAAGCCAAGGACCCAACUAUACCAUACUUAGACUCCUGACCCACAGAAACUGUGAGAUAAUAAAUGUGUUUUGUUUUAAGUCUCUUGUUUUUUUUUUUUUUUUUA